AGGACCUGAUGUAACUGGCGACGAGUGGGGCUUACCACAAUGGAGCAUCGGGGCAUACGGCCGGUCGCCUGGGCAAAGAGC
Regulatory RNA element from Paenibacillus sp. FSL H7-0331, 81 nucleotides. It matches the Rfam family "ZMP/ZTP riboswitch aptamer (pfl RNA motif)". Rfam says of the family: Previously known as pfl RNA. The record is from Rfam. NCBI's taxonomy places the organism in Bacteria, Bacillati, Bacillota, Bacilli, Caryophanales, Paenibacillaceae.